GGGCCUGUAGCUCAGGUGGUUAGAGCGCUUCUCUGAUAAGGAAGAGGUCCCUGGUUCGAGUCCAGGCAGGCCCACUA
Molecule: transfer RNA, 77 nt
Filed under: uncultured Rubrobacteraceae bacterium
Lineage: Bacteria; Bacillati; Actinomycetota; Rubrobacteria; Rubrobacterales; Rubrobacteraceae
Description: tRNA-Ile-GAT
Rfam family: tRNA
About the family: Transfer RNA (tRNA) molecules are approximately 80 nucleotides in length. Their secondary structure includes four short double-helical elements and three loops (D, anti-codon, and T loops).
Source: RNAcentral